CCUGAGCUUGACACAAGUCAGAAGCAGCUAGAGUCAGUGGGUGACGGGAGCAGGGAACACACUGACGCCCUUGGGUGGGGUCACAGGGCGUCCCAGCGGGCAGAGCCAACCUGGCCUUCUACAUCUGUGGAUCUGGUGGGUCUUGAAACCCUGUUGGCAUCAGAUAGAUGGUCAGGAGUCCCCACCUGGAUAAGCAAGUGCUCACUGCCAGAAAGUUCCACCUGCAGACUGUGGACGGUCACUCACCCCUGAGCAAGAAUGAGAGGACAAGGCCUGGCUGGCUGCGGGGACUCAGCAGGGCUGGAGGAAAGGUGUGGAGAAGGGCAGGAGGAGGUGGAGACACGAGGACCCCGUAUUUUUCCCUCACAUUAAAAGGUCUGUUUUCAGUGAGUUGAAAACAGAUCAAGCUUGACUGCUGGAAUUUCUUCUUGGCUGAAAAAUA
Molecule: long non-coding RNA, 442 nt
Organism: Mustela lutreola (European mink)
Lineage: Eukaryota; Metazoa; Chordata; Mammalia; Carnivora; Mustelidae
Exons: 3
Source: RefSeq, a predicted model, not a curated record